UUUAAUAUCCACAUGUUGCUCAAUUGACUAGUGUGUUUAAUGGACGCGCGCUUAUGAGUUUUUUAAUAUCCACAUGUUGCUCACGUUUUUUCCUAUUUUUUAUUUCUGAUUUUUAUUUCUAUUUUAUUUCUUUUAUACCAGUUCAUUUCAAAAAAUCAUAUCUCAUUCAUUAUUAAUCCAAAAAAUGUGAGACCAAUUGCAU
Molecule: long non-coding RNA, 202 nt
Filed under: Lathyrus oleraceus (garden pea)
Lineage: Eukaryota; Viridiplantae; Streptophyta; Magnoliopsida; Fabales; Fabaceae
Description: Pisum sativum (pea) long non-coding RNA (PSAT_LNC015325)
Source: RNAcentral